RNAcentral lists this ribosomal RNA (468 nucleotides) under uncultured bacterium. RNAcentral describes it as "partial 16S ribosomal RNA". It matches the Rfam family "Bacterial small subunit ribosomal RNA", at positions 28 to 507 of the family's 1533-position model. The record is from RNAcentral.
GACGAACGCUGGCGGCGUGCUUAACACAUGCAAGUCGAACGGAAAGGCCCUGCUUUUGUGGGGUGCUCGAGUGGCGAACGGAUGAGUAACACGUGAGUACCCUGCCCUUGACUUUGGGGUAACUUCAGGGAACUGGGGCUAAUAACGGAUAGGAGAUCCUGCUGCAUGGUGGGGGUUUGUAAGUUUCGGCGGUUGGGGAUGGACUCGCGGCUUAUCAGCUUGUUGGUGAGGUAGUGGCUUACCAAGGCUUUGCCGGGUAGCCGGAGUGAGAGGGUGACCGGCACAAUGGGGACUGAGCUACGGGCCGGACUCCUACGGGAGGCAGCAGAGGGGAAUAUUGCAUGACGGACCGAAGCCGGAUGCAGGAAGGCCGCGUGCGGGAUGGUGGACUUCGGGUAGAAAACCCCUUUCCCGUGUAAUCAAGCGUAGGUGACGGUACUGGGUAAAGAAGCACCGGCUAACUACGUG